ACCCGCUGAACUGAAGCAUCUCACUAAGCGGAGGAAAAGAAAGUAACAACGAUUGCCCUAGUAUCGGCGAGAGAAGCGGCAAGAGCUCAAGAUGUAAAUCUCCGUCCCUCGGGCGGCGAAUUGUAAACUGUGAGGAGGUUCUUACCCAACGCGGCUGUGCAGAAUUCCACAUGAGAAGGAGCCAGAGAGGGUGCAAGCCCCGUCUGUGGUGCGGCCGUAGGUGCGGAGCCUUUUCCAAGAGUCGGGUUGUUUUGUAUUGCAGCCCUAAAUGGGGGAUAAACUUCCCCUAAAGCUAAAUACAUAUGGGAAACCGAUAGCGAACAAGUACUGUGAAGGAAAGAUGAAAAGAACUUUGGAAAAGAGUUAACAGAUUCGAAAUCGUCGUGAAGGAAGCAGUAGAAAUUUAUCUUUCGUUACAGGGCUGAAGCGUCUGCGUAGUCAUCGUAGUGGUGGAGCACUUCACAGGCUUGCUGCUGCGCAUGGUGGAGCGGGCGUUAUGCUCUGUGGCGUUAGGCAGGGUGGGUUCUCAUCGGCGGAUGGGCUGGUCAUUGCUCCGGGGCCUCGGUCUCGACUUUGGUUGUGCUUGCGUUGGUGAGGACUGAGGGUGCUUUGUGCGAUCCUGCCAAAAUGAUUUUACUGACCCGUCUUGAAUCACGGACCAAGGAGUCGAACGUAUGUGCGAGUGUGUUGGUGGAAAAAACCAAUACGCGUAAUGAAAGUGAACGGUGCCAAGGCAACAGCAGCAUCGGCCGACCAUGAUCCUCUGGUGAAAGGUUUGAGCAUGAGCACAUCCGCUCGGACCCGAAAGAUGGUGAACUAUGCCUGUGCAGGGUGAAGUCAGGGGAAACUCUGAUGGAGGCUCGUAGCGAUUCUGACGUGCAAAUCGAUCGUCAAACAUGGGUAUAGGGGCGAAAGACUAAUCGAACCAUCUAGUAGCUGGUUCCCUCCGAAGUUUCCCUCAGGAUAGCUGGGACAUAUACGCAGUUUUAUUAGGUAAAGCGAAUGAUUAGAGGCAUCGGGGACGCAAUGUUCUCGACCUAUUCUCAAACUUUAAAGUUGGUAAGAACUCCGGAUUGCCUUAAGUGAAUCACGGAGGUGGAAUGCGUGUCCUUAGUGGGCCAUUUUUGGUAAGCAGAACUGGCGAUGAGGGAUGAACCUAACGUUGAGUUAAGGUGCCCAACUGCACGCUCAUCAGAUACCACAAAAGGUGUUGAUUCAUUUAGACAGCAGGACGGUGGCCAUGGAAGUCGGAAUUCGCUAAGGAGUGUGUAACAACUCACCUGCCGAAUGGAUUAGCCCUGAAAAUUGAUGGCGCUCAAGCGUGUGACCGAUACUCAACCACUGUUGCGAGAGUUAGGCAGCAGUGAGUAGGAGGGCGUGAACGUUGUGUUGAAGCCUUUGGCGUGAGCCUGGGUAGAACAGCGUUUAGUGCAGAUCUUGGUGGUAGUAGCAAUUAUGCAAAUGAGAACUUUGCAGGCCGAAGUGGAGAAGGUUUCCGUGAGAACAGCAAUUGGUCACGGGUGACUCGAUCCUAAGACAUUGGGGAACUCCUUGUUAAAUGAGCUUUUAGCUCGCAGUCGAAAGGGAAUGAGGUUCAUAUUCCUCAAGCUGGCUGUGGAUUUUGCAUCGCUAUGGCAACAUUUAAUGAGCUCAGAGACGCCAGCGUAAGCUCCUGGAAGAGUUCUCUUUUCAUUUAACAGGCUAUCGACCUUGAAGUCGGAUUAUCCGGAGAUAAGGUUGUAUGUCUGGAAGAGCAGCUCGCUUCCUGAGCUGUCAGGUGCGCUUACGAUGGCCCUUGAAAAUCUGAGUAAGAUUGAUAUUUCACACCAGGUCGUACCAACAACCGCAUCAGGUCUCCAAGGU
This 1863-nucleotide ribosomal RNA is filed under the name Leptoamphisiella vermis. RNAcentral describes it as "LSU rRNA". It matches the Rfam family "Eukaryotic large subunit ribosomal RNA", at positions 23 to 1873 of the family's 3401-position model. The record is from RNAcentral. Lineage: Eukaryota; Ciliophora; Spirotrichea; Pseudoamphisiellida.